UUUCCGUAGGUGAACCUGCGGAAGGAUCAUUAUUGGAUUUUGAAACUUCAGGCUGCUGCUGGCUCUCCUCGGAGGGCAUGUGCACGCUUGUUGUCCAUUAUUUCUCCCACUGUGCACAAAUUGUAGACCUUUCAGUAGGCCUAUGUUGUUUUUCACAAUCUCUGAAUGUAAUAGAAUGGUUUUGAAUCUUGGGAAAUACAAUACAACUUUCAGCAACGGAUCUCUUGGCUCUU
Molecule: unclassified non-coding RNA, 233 nt
Filed under: plant metagenome
Description: partial contains small subunit ribosomal RNA, internal transcribed spacer 1, and 5.8S ribosomal RNA
Source: RNAcentral